GCCGACUUAGCUCAGCUGGCUAGAGCAGCUGAUUUGUAAUCAGCAGGUCGGGGGUUCGAGUCCCUCCGUCGGCU
RNAcentral lists this transfer RNA (74 nucleotides) under Saprospiraceae bacterium. RNAcentral's name for it is "tRNA-Thr". It matches the Rfam family "tRNA". Rfam says of the family: Transfer RNA (tRNA) molecules are approximately 80 nucleotides in length. Their secondary structure includes four short double-helical elements and three loops (D, anti-codon, and T loops). The record is from RNAcentral. Lineage: Bacteria; Pseudomonadati; Bacteroidota; Saprospiria; Saprospirales; Saprospiraceae.